AUCGAACGCUGGCGGCAGGCCUAACACAUGCAAGUCGAGCGGAUGAUGCGAGCUUGCUCCUGGACUCAGCGGCGGACGGGUGAGUAAUGCCUAGGAAUCUGCCUGGUAGUCGGGGAUAACGUCCGGAAACGGGCGCUAAUACCGCAUACGUCCUGAGGGAGCAAGUGGGUGAUCUUCGGACCUCACGCUAUCAUAUGAGCCUAGGUCGGAUUAGCUAGUUGGUGGGGUAAAGGCCUACCAAGGCGACGAUCCGUAACUGGUCUGAGAGGAUGAUCAGUCACACUGGAACUGAGACACGGUCCAGACUCCUACGGGAAGACGCAGUGGGGAAUAUUGGACGAUGGGCGAGAGCCUGAUCCAGCCAUGCCGCGUAUGUGAAGAAGGUCUUCGGAUUGUAGAGCGAUUUAAGUUGGGGGGAAGGGCAGUAAGUUAAUACCUUGCUGUUUUGACGUUACCAGCAGAAUAAGCACCGGCUAACUUCGUG
RNAcentral lists this ribosomal RNA (484 nucleotides) under uncultured bacterium. Its description in RNAcentral is "partial 16S ribosomal RNA". It matches the Rfam family "Bacterial small subunit ribosomal RNA", at positions 30 to 507 of the family's 1533-position model. The record is from RNAcentral.